ACGGAAGGCAGCAGUGGGGAAUAUUGCACAAUGGGGGAAACCCUGAUGCAGCAACGCCGCGUGAAGGAUGACGGUUUUCGGAUUGUAAACUUCUGUUCUCGUUGACGAAGACAGUGACGGUAAACGAGGAGCAAGCCACGGCUAACUACGUGCCAGCAGCCGCGGUGAUACGUAGGUGGCAAGCGUUGUCCGGAAUUACUGGGUGUAAAGGGAGCGCAGGCGGGAGAGCAAGUCAGCUGUGAAAACCACGGGCUUAACCUGUGGACUGCAGUUGAAACUGUUCUUCUUGAGUGAAGUAGAGGUAAGCGGAAUUCCGAGUGUAGCGGUGAAAUGCGUAGAGAUUCGGAGGAACACCAGUGGCGAAGGCGGCUUACUGGGCUUUAACUGACGCUGAGGCUCGAAAGUGUGGGGAGCAAACAGGAUUAGAUACCCUGGUA
This 437-nucleotide ribosomal RNA is filed under the name uncultured Oscillospiraceae bacterium. Its description in RNAcentral is "bacterial SSU rRNA". It matches the Rfam family "Bacterial small subunit ribosomal RNA", at positions 341 to 792 of the family's 1533-position model. The record is from RNAcentral. Lineage: Bacteria; Bacillati; Bacillota; Clostridia; Eubacteriales; Oscillospiraceae.